GAUGAACGCUGGCGGCGUGCCUAAUACAUGCAAGUCGAGCGAACAGACGAGGAGCUUGCUCCUCUGACGUUAGCGGCGGACGGAUGAGUAACACGUGGAUAACCUACCUAUAAGACUGGGAUAACUUCGGGAAACCGGAGCUAAUACCGGAUAAUAUAUUGAACCGCAUGGUUCAAUAGUGAAAGACGGUUUUGCUGUCACUUAUAGAUGGAUCCGCGCCGCAUUAGCUAGUUGGUAAGGUAACGGCUUACAAAGGCAACGAUGCGUAGCCGACCUGAGAGGGUGAUCGGCCACACUGGAACUGAGACACGGUCCAGACUCCUACGGGAGGCAGCAGUAGGGAAUCUUCCGCAAUGGGCGAAAGCCUGACGGAGCAACGCCGCAUGAGUGAUGAAGGUCUUCGGAUCGUAAAACUCUGUUAUUAGGGAAGAACAAAUGUGUAAGUAACUAUGCACGUCUUGACGGUACCUAAUCAGAAAGCCACGGCUAACUACGUG
This 497-nucleotide ribosomal RNA is filed under the name uncultured bacterium. RNAcentral's name for it is "partial 16S ribosomal RNA". It matches the Rfam family "Bacterial small subunit ribosomal RNA", at positions 28 to 507 of the family's 1533-position model. The record is from RNAcentral.